This 253-nucleotide ribosomal RNA is filed under the name uncultured bacterium. Its description in RNAcentral is "partial 16S ribosomal RNA". It matches the Rfam family "Bacterial small subunit ribosomal RNA", at positions 524 to 776 of the family's 1533-position model. The record is from RNAcentral.
GACAGAGGUGCCGAGCGUUAGGCGGAAUCACUGGGCUUAAAGCGUGUGUAGGCGGAUUUGUAAGUACCUUGUGAAAUCCCACGGCUCAACCGUGGAACUGCUUGGUAUACUGCUUAUCUUGGGCCACUUAGGGGUUACCGGAACAAACGGUGGAGCGGUGAAAUGCGUAGAUAUCGUUUGGAACGCCAAUGGUGAAAACAGGUAACUGGGAGUGUGCCGACGCUGAGACACGAAAGCCAGGGGAGCGAACGGG